AUUGAACGCUGGCGGCAGGCCUAACACAUGCAAGUCGAGCGGAUGAAGGGAGCUUGCUCCUGGAUUCAGCGGCGGACGGGUGAGUAAUGCCUAGGAAUCUGCCUGGUAGUGGGGGAUAACGUCCGGAAACGGGCGCUAAUACCGCAUACGUCCUGAGGGAGAAAGUGGGGGAUCUUCGGACCUCACGCUAUCAGAUGAGCCUAGGUCGGAUUAGCUAGUUGGUUGGGGUAAAGGCCUACCAAGGCGACGAUCCGUAACUGGUCUGAGAGGAUGAUCAGUCACACUGGAACUGAGACACGGUCCAGACUCCUACGGGAGGCAGCAGUGGGGAAUAUUGGACAAUGGGCGAAAGCCUGAUCCAGCCAUGCCGCGUGUGUGAAGAAGGUCUUCGGAUUGUAAAGCACCUUAAGUUGGGAGGAAGGGCAGUAAGUUAAUACCUUGCUGUUUUGACGUUACCAACAGAAUAAGCACCGGCUAACUUCGUG
Molecule: ribosomal RNA, 485 nt
Filed under: uncultured bacterium
Lineage: Bacteria
Description: partial 16S ribosomal RNA
Rfam family: Bacterial small subunit ribosomal RNA
Source: RNAcentral